Molecule: transfer RNA, 69 nt
Filed under: Sundadanio axelrodi 'blue'
Lineage: Eukaryota; Metazoa; Chordata; Actinopteri; Cypriniformes; Sundadanionidae
Description: tRNA-Ala
Rfam family: tRNA
About the family: Transfer RNA (tRNA) molecules are approximately 80 nucleotides in length. Their secondary structure includes four short double-helical elements and three loops (D, anti-codon, and T loops).
Source: RNAcentral
AAGGCCCUAGUUUAACAAAAACAUUUGAUUUGCAAUCAGACGAUGCAAGAUAGAGUCUUGUGGGUUUUA